RNAcentral lists this unclassified non-coding RNA (146 nucleotides) under uncultured Crocicreas. RNAcentral's name for it is "sequence contains ITS2". The record is from RNAcentral. Lineage: Eukaryota; Fungi; Ascomycota; Leotiomycetes; Helotiales; Helotiaceae.
AAACCAAUCCAGCUUGCUGGGUCUUGGGCUUUCGCCUCUGGGCGGGCCUUAAAAUCAGUGGCGGUGCCAUCCGGCUCUAAGCGUAGUAAUUCUUCUCGCUAUGGAGUUCCGGGUGGAGGCUUGCCAACCAACCCCAAAUUUUUACA